UACGGGGGGGGCAAGCGUUGCUCGGAAUCACUGGGCGUAAAGGGCGUGUAGGCGGGAAGGAAAGUCAGAUGGGAAAUCCCUGGGCUCAACCCAGGAACUGCAUUUGAAACUCCCUUUCUUGAGUACCGGAGAGGAAGGUGGAAUACCUGGUGUAGAGGUGAAAUUCGUAGAUAUCAGGUGGAACACCAGUGGCGAAGGCGGCCUUCUGGACGGUAACUGACGCUGAGACGCGAAAGCGUGGGGAGCAAACAGG
Molecule: ribosomal RNA, 253 nt
Filed under: uncultured bacterium
Lineage: Bacteria
Description: partial 16S ribosomal RNA
Rfam family: Bacterial small subunit ribosomal RNA
Source: RNAcentral